GCAAUCGAUGCCAUGAAGGGACUCACUCAUCCGGGAAUCUUCAGCCGCUUCCGCAUCAGCAUCCGCAUCCGCAUCCGCAAUCUCCAAGCCCUCCAUAUCCACAAGAUGCCAAAACAGCCAGCUAGGGGAAACCGAGUUUUCCAUUAAACAUAUUAAAAAUGAUCAGAAAAAAAAGAGGAGGAAAGUAUGCCAGAUUAUGGAGCCUUCGCUCGCAUUCGAUAGGCAGCCACCUUGAACGCUCGUCCUCCGCCUUCGCCUCCUGCUCCUCCUGCAGAUCCUUCGGCACAAGUGCUGUUAAUUAUUUGUCACUUAAGAGCCCGACACAUGCGACGCAAAUAACAACAACAAUAACGAGGUGCUCGCAUUAAUAAAACAUUAAAAUCAUUAAGUAUGCACAUAAAUACAUAAAUGGAAGCAAGGCG
Molecule: non-coding RNA, 422 nt
Organism: Drosophila melanogaster (fruit fly)
Lineage: Eukaryota; Metazoa; Arthropoda; Insecta; Diptera; Drosophilidae
Source: Ensembl